AUUGAACGCUGGCGGAAUGCUUUACACAUGCAAGUCGAGCGGCAGCGCGGGGGCAACCCUGGCGGCGAGCGGCGAACGGGUGAGUAACAUAUCGGAACGUACCCUGUCGUGGGGGAUAACUAUCCGAAAGGAUAGCUAAUACCGCAUACGACCUGAGGGUGAAAGCGGGGGACCGCAAGGCCUCGCGCGAUAGGAGCGGCCGAUAUCGGAUUAGCUAGUUGGUGAGGUAAAGGCUCACCAAGGCGACGAUCCGUAGCGGGUCUGAGAGGACGACCCGCCACACUGGAACUGAGACACGGUCCAGACUCCUACGGGAGGCAGCAGUGGGGAAUUUUGGACAAUGGGGGCAACCCUGAUCCAGCCAUUCCGCGUGAGUGAAGAAGGCCUUCGGGUUGUAAAGCUCUUCAGCAGGAACGAAACGGUGAGGGUUAAUACCCUUUACUAAUGACGGUACCUGAAGAAGAAGCACCGGCUAACUACGUGCCAGCAGCCGACGGUAAAGUAGACGUCU
This 511-nucleotide ribosomal RNA is filed under the name uncultured bacterium. RNAcentral's name for it is "bacterial SSU rRNA". It matches the Rfam family "Bacterial small subunit ribosomal RNA", at positions 29 to 536 of the family's 1533-position model. The record is from RNAcentral.